This 28-nucleotide non-coding RNA is filed under the name Rattus norvegicus (Norway rat). The record is from RNAcentral. Lineage: Eukaryota; Metazoa; Chordata; Mammalia; Rodentia; Muridae.
UGGAAAGUUCCCGACUCCAGUGUCCCUU